RNAcentral lists this ribosomal RNA (513 nucleotides) under Curculionidae sp. NZAC 03009074. RNAcentral describes it as "eukaryotic LSU rRNA". Lineage: Eukaryota; Metazoa; Arthropoda; Insecta; Coleoptera; Curculionidae. The record is from RNAcentral.
UACGUGAAACCGUUUAGGAGUAAACCUGAGAAACCCGAAAGGUCGAAGGGAGAAAUUCAUUCGCGUCUCGACGCGGGCGUCGGACGGUGUUGUGCGACGGAAAGCGCGUUCGCGCGCUUUUCGCGCCCUCCGUUCGACGAACCCGCGACGAACGCGUGCACUUUUCUCCUGGUAGGACGUCGUGAUCCGUUGGGCGUCGGUCUACGGCCCGCGGUGGAGCUCGUUCGUACGUUUCGCGACGUACGGGCGGACCCGCGGUGUCCCGGCCGACUCGCUCGACGGUAACAGAAUGGUUGGAGGCCGCUCGUUUAGUAGCGUUCGGCUCGCGGCAAGCGCGCCAGAUGCGUCGGCGAUCGGACCUAGUGCCGAUUCCGACCUCCGGUGACUGUUGGCCGCGACGUUCUCGAACAGACCUUCUACAAAACCGAUCUGCGACGCUAUAGCUUUGGGUAAUUUCAGGACCCGUCUUGAAACACGGACCAAGGAGUCUAGCAUGUACGCGAGUCAUUGGGA